CCGGAGGAAGGUGGGGAUGACGUCAAGUCAUCAUGGCCCUUACGGCCAGGGCUACACACGUGCUACAAUGGUCGGUACAAAGGGUUGCCAAGCCGCGAGGUGGAGCUAAUCCCAUAAAACCGAUCGUAGUCCGGAUCGCAGUCUGCAACUCGACUGCGUGAAGUCGGAAUCGCUAGUAAUCGUGAAUCAGAAUGUCACGGUGAAUACGUUCCCGGGCCUUGUACACACCGCCCGUCACACCAUGGGAGUGGGUUGCUCCAGAAGUAGCUAGUCUAACCGCAAGGGGGACGGUUACCACGGAGUGAUUCAUGACUGGGGUGAAGUCGUAACA
RNAcentral lists this ribosomal RNA (331 nucleotides) under uncultured bacterium. RNAcentral describes it as "bacterial SSU rRNA". It matches the Rfam family "Bacterial small subunit ribosomal RNA", at positions 1163 to 1493 of the family's 1533-position model. The record is from RNAcentral.